ACAGAUCGGCCUCUCAACAUGUAUGCGUGGGACCUGGAUGAAACGCUUAUUCUGCUCAUGGGCGCUAUGUAUGGGUCGUUUGCUGGGCAUUUUGAUGGCCUCAGUAUUCAUGAAAGAGGCACUGAAGUGGGCAAGCGUUGGGAGACCAUUGUUCUUGAACUCUGCGAUGAGCACUUUUUCUAUGAGGAGGUCAGUCAACACCUCGAAUCUUGUCUGCUGACAGCUUACUAG
RNAcentral lists this ribosomal RNA (231 nucleotides) under Triticum aestivum (bread wheat). RNAcentral's name for it is "partial small subunit ribosomal RNA". Lineage: Eukaryota; Viridiplantae; Streptophyta; Magnoliopsida; Poales; Poaceae. The record is from RNAcentral.